RNAcentral lists this ribosomal RNA (481 nucleotides) under uncultured bacterium. RNAcentral describes it as "bacterial SSU rRNA". It matches the Rfam family "Bacterial small subunit ribosomal RNA", at positions 30 to 512 of the family's 1533-position model. The record is from RNAcentral.
AUUGAACGCUGGCGGCAUGCCUUACACAUGCAAGUCGAACGGGUUUUGGGGGCUUGCUCCCAAAGCUAGUGGCGAACGGGUGAGUAAAGUAUCGGAACGUACCAUUCAGUGGGGGAUAACGUAGCGAAAGUUACGCUAAUACCGCAUAUUCUGUGAGCAGGAAAGCAGGGGAUCGCAAGACCUUGCGCUGAUUGAGCGGCCGAUAUCAGAUUAGCUGGUUGGUGGGGUAAAGGGCUCACCAAGGCGACGAUCUGUAGCGGGGUCUGAGAGGAUGAUCCGCCCACACUGGGACUGAGACACGGCCCAGACUCCUACGGGAGGCAGCAGUGGGGAAUUUUGGACAAUGGGGGCAACCCUGAUCCAGCCAUGCCGCGUGAGUGAAGAAGGCUCGGUUGUAAGACCUUCGUGGGAAGAAUACGCGCGUCUCUACAUAGGUGUGGAUGACGGUACCGCAUAAGAAGACCGCUAACUACGUGCCAGC